This is a long non-coding RNA of Misgurnus anguillicaudatus (oriental weatherfish), 723 nucleotides long. RefSeq lists it as uncharacterized. Lineage: Eukaryota; Metazoa; Chordata; Actinopteri; Cypriniformes; Cobitidae. The record is from RefSeq and is a predicted model, not a curated record.
UCUGCAUGCUACAGAUGUUCCACAAAUGAACCGAGCUGUGUUGAGUUCUCAUGACACCGGGGCACCUCAGGUGCUGAGCGCAGACCCAAAUCUGUCUUCCCACCAUCACACCACCCCAACUCUCUUUAAAUGAAUGAAACAGGAAGGACUGAGCGUUCUGCCCUUCACCGCCCCGCUCGGCCCCUGCGCCAAAGUACAGCCGUUGUAAAAAGAGACCACCGGACCCAUGAAGAGGUGCUGGUGUGUCAAGCAUCUGUUUUAUCCAUUACAGCGAGACUGCAGCCCUGCAGAGAACAGAAGACAUGCAGAAGCAUCCAUAAAUCUUUGGCCUCUGGUGGAAACAUAUUUUCCACACACUCCUCCCACGUUCCUCUGCUAACAUUCUGCUGUCUAUUUCACAUUCCUCCAUGCUAAAAUCUGAAGGGGGUGCACAUAUACAGUAUACAGUAAGGGGAUUUGCAUCAAUAAAGCCACCCGGAAGUCAUUCAUUUAGCAUGGAAGUUCAUAUGAUUCCCAGCAACGUGAGCGAUGCAAAGUAAAAAAAAUUAUUGUAGCAUACGUGAUAUCUUUCCUUUGAGAUACAAUACUGUAGUACUCAUGUGCCAGUCUUUCUUUAGUUGUAACAUUUACUUUAAUAUUUAGGGUUCUGUUACAUUUUUCUUUACUUUCUUUACUUUCCAUAAUGUGUAAAUUUAAUAAACAACAUUUUAGCAUGUGAUACCA